Molecule: ribosomal RNA, 413 nt
Filed under: uncultured bacterium
Lineage: Bacteria
Description: bacterial SSU rRNA
Rfam family: Bacterial small subunit ribosomal RNA
Source: RNAcentral
UAGGGAAUAUUGCACAAUGGGGGAAACCCUGAUGCAGCGACGCCGCGUGAAGGAAGAAGUAUCUCGGUAUGUAAACUUCUAUCAGCAGGGAAGACAAUGACGGUACCUGACUAAGAAGCCCCGGCUAACUACGUGCCAGCAGCCGCGGUAAUACGUAGGGGGCAAGCGUUAUCCGGAUUUACUGGGUGUAAAGGGAGCGUAGACGGAUCUGCAAGUCUGGAGUGAAAGCCCGGGGCCAUCCAGCCGGACUUGCAUUGAACUGUGGAUCUAGAGUGCCGGAGAGGUAAGCGGAAUUCCUAGUGUAGCGGUGAAAUGCGUAGAUAUUAGGAGGAACACCAGUGGCGAAGGCGGCUUACUGGACGGUAACUGACGUUGAGGCUCGAAAGCGUGGGGAUCGAACAGGAUUAGAUACC